This 547-nucleotide ribosomal RNA is filed under the name uncultured bacterium. RNAcentral describes it as "bacterial SSU rRNA". It matches the Rfam family "Bacterial small subunit ribosomal RNA", at positions 355 to 896 of the family's 1533-position model. The record is from RNAcentral.
UGGGGAAUAUUGCGCAAUGGGGGGAACCCUGACGCAGCCAUGCCGCGUGAAUGAAGAAGGCCUUAGGGUUGUAAAGUUCUUUCGGUAUUGAGGAAGGUUGAUGUGUUAAUAGCACAUCAAAUUGACGUUAAAUACAGAAGAAGCACCGGCUAACUCCGUGCCAGCAGCCGCGGUAAUACGGAGGGUGCGAGCGUUAAUCGGAAUAACUGGGCGUAAAGGGCACGCAGGCGGUUAUUUAAGUGAGGUGUGAAAGCCCCGGGCUUAACCUGGGAAUUGCAUUUCAGACUGGGUAACUAGAGUACUUUAGGGAGGGGUAGAAUUCCACGUGUAGCGGUGAAAUGCGUAGAGAUGUGGAGGAAUACCGAAGGCGAAGGCAGCCCCUCGGGAAUGUACUGACGCUCAUGUGCGAAAGCGUGGGGAGCAAACAGGAUUAGAUACCCUGGUAGUCCACGCUGUAAACGCUGUCGAUUUGGGGGUUGGGGUUUAACUCUGGCGCCCGUAGCUAACGUGAUAAAUCGACCGCCUGGGGAGUACGGCCGCAAGNUUA